Molecule: long non-coding RNA, 790 nt
Organism: Lacerta agilis (Sand lizard)
Lineage: Eukaryota; Metazoa; Chordata; Lepidosauria; Squamata; Lacertidae
Exons: 2
Source: RefSeq, a predicted model, not a curated record
CGACACCCUAAAAAUGUCCAAUUGGUUCACCUUUCCUCAUUUGCAGACUUGGAGGAGGAGGAGGAGGUAGAAAGUGUUCUGGAAAUGUGGAAAUGGAAAUUAACAUGCACUGAAAACCUGUUUUGUGUUUCAUUUGUAUGUAGAGAGCUGAUGAGAUGGAGUUCUUGUUCAAUCUGCCAUUUUGCCUGCAAUAAAAUGACUAGUUUAUGGGAAAUAAGGUAGGGCUCUCAUGACUUGACCUAGAUUUAUGAUGGAACUUGUAAAAGUAUUUGGUUUCAAUAAAUCUGAUAGAUUAAACACUGUUCUUGUUAGCGGUUGAUAGACGUCCUCUUUUAAAGCCAUCUAAUUGCCAGAGAACCUAUGCAACAUCACUAUUAAAAUCAAGAUUUGGACAUGAAAUAGUGAUAUCUGUAAGCAAUGUCUGUCUUGAGCAAUAUGUACAUUGACCUUUUUACAGUGAUCAGAAAAUGCAUGACACUUUAAAAAAAGAAAGAACAAACUAAGUAAAGUGCCUUAAUUAAAAAGCCAAAGCUCUUUUGAAAAAUGAGAGUCUGUUUUACCUGCCUCAAGUAACAGAACUUAUUUUCUGCAAUAUUUAGGUGUUAAGUACUCCCUUGCCUCUCUCUUAAGGGGAUUAUAAACUGCUUUUGCAAGCUACAGGGUGAAGUAAAGUACUGAAAAGAGUUAUUAAAAUUGACAAUUUAAUGCAAGUAAUCUGUUACAUGUGGCAUUUGAAAUGCCUUCUGUUCUGUAGUUAAUAUUCUAAAAAUAAAUGUUUUUUUCCCCACUG